RNAcentral lists this ribosomal RNA (309 nucleotides) under uncultured archaeon. Its description in RNAcentral is "bacterial SSU rRNA". It matches the Rfam family "Archaeal small subunit ribosomal RNA", at positions 526 to 834 of the family's 1478-position model. The record is from RNAcentral.
CGGUCUGGUAAAUUCCUUGUGAAAUCGUCGUGCUUAACGCGACGGCGUGCAGGGAACACUGCCAGGCUUGGGACCGGAAGGAGUCAGAGGUAUGCCGUGGGGACCGGUAAAAUGGGAUAAUCCACGGUAGACCGCCGAUGGCGAAGGCAUCUGACCAGGACGGAUCCGACGGUGAGGAACGAAAGCCAGGGGAGCGAACCGGAUUAGAUACCCGAGUAGUCCUGGCCGUAAACGCUGCGUGCUAGGUGUUGCCCCUCCUAUGAGGAUGGGCAGUGUCGAAAUGAAGGUGUUAAGCACGCCGCCUGGGAA